UACUUCCCACAGCUCCUUGGCUGACAUCUUUCAAUAUCAGUGCUCUUAGAACCAAUAAACACCCCAUACGUGCUCCUUUGUUAUUGGCCAGUUCUCUUUUCCUCUUCGUCGAUUUUUUUUUUUUUUUGAGAAAUCGAGUUCGUCGAUGUUGUUGAUGGUUUUGAGAAAUUUCUCCAAAUCCAUCCGUGAAACCACCGUGAAGAUUCUCUAAGGCGGAGGAGGAACACAUGGCUCAGUUGGCGGCGGCGGGGAGGAGCGGGUGUAUAAUCGGAGAUUACGCGGUGGGACGACAAAUCGGGUCGGGUUCGUUUCGGUGGUGUGGGAAGGGAGGCAUCUUGUAGAUGGAACAGUGGUUGUUAUCAAAGAGAUCGCCAUGGCUAGGCUUAGUAAGAAUUUGCAAGAUAGUCUCAAGUUUCGAAGAUCUGUUCGUGUAUUGCGGGAGGAAGUUCUCGCCAAAGACGGUCUUGUUGUUAGCUGAUCAAAUGCUAACGAGGAUAGAGUAUGUACACUCCAAAGCGUAUCUGCAUAGAGUAUGUUUACUGUAGUUUCUCUUCUCCAUCUGAAACUUUGAUAAGGGAAUGAUAAGUUUGAGUUAAUCAGAUGAGAUGUUGGUUGUAAUUUGAUGGCUUGAUUACUCUUCAGCGUGAAGGUGCAUAACACCGGAAUAUCACAGAUUAGUGAAUAUAGCAGUCCUGGCGAUGGCUUACAUGAGUGUGGCGGCUAUAGCAGCAGCAUCAGAGUCUGGUAUGAUUGGAAUAAGAGGUGAGGAAGAGCUGCAAUGGAUGAAGGUGUGCAAUAUGUUUGGUAAGUUCUGCAACCGAGGAGCUGGAGGAGUAGCCAGCACCAUGCUUGCUUCCGUUGCUAUGGUUUUGGCCUCUUGCAUUUCCGCCUUUAGUCUCUUUCGCUUGUACGGUGCCACCACCCAAUGACCACCAAACGUAGCCGUGGUGAAGUGAAAGAACGCAUCCUCUGUCUUUAUUAGUGUUGAAAUGUUGUUGUUAAGAAACCAAAAAAAGAGAGAGUGAAAGUGUAGGCUAAAUCUUCUUCCUUAUGUUAAAAUUAUGAUGUUCUUUGUGACAUAGGUUUUUGUAUCAGUGUGCAAUCUGCUGUGAUCAAAAGCAA
Brassica oleracea var. oleracea is the source of this 1122-nucleotide RNA transcript. It is a transcript of the gene named CASP-like protein 2B1, with no coding region annotated. The transcript has 5 exons. The record is from RefSeq and is a predicted model, not a curated record. NCBI's taxonomy places the organism in Eukaryota, Viridiplantae, Streptophyta, Magnoliopsida, Brassicales, Brassicaceae.